Molecule: ribosomal RNA, 217 nt
Filed under: uncultured bacterium
Lineage: Bacteria
Description: partial 16S ribosomal RNA
Rfam family: Bacterial small subunit ribosomal RNA
Source: RNAcentral
ACGCUCGACACCUACGGGAGGCAGCAGUGAGGAAUAUUGGUCAAUGGGCGCUAGCCUGAACCAGCCAAGUAGCGUGAAGGAUGAAGGCUCUAUGGGUCGUAAACUUCUUUUAUAUAAGAAUAAAGUGCAGUAUGUAUACUGUUUUGUAUGUAUUAUAUGAAUAAGGAUCGGCUAACUCCGUGCUAGCAGCCGCGGUAAUCUGAGCGGGCUGGCAAGC